GGCGAACGGGUGAGUAACACGUGAGUAAUCCUGCCCUCGGCACCGGGAUAGCCCGGGGAAACCCUGGAUUAAUACCGGAUGGCCAUUCGAGCUCUCGAGCGCGAAUGAAAAGGUAGCUUCGGCCUCUGGCCGAGGAUGGGCUCGCGGCGGAUUAGCUUGUUGGUGGGGUAAUGGCUCACCAAGGCGACGAUCCGUAGCUGGUCUGAGAGGACGAUCAGCCACACUGGGACUGAGACACGGCCCAGACUCAUACGGGAGGCAGCAGUGGGGAAUCUUGCGCAAUGGGCGAAAGCCUGACGCAGCGACGCCGCGUGCGGGAAGAAGGCCUUCGGGUUGUAAACCGCUUUCAGGAGGGACGAAGCCACUCGGGUGAAUAGCCUAAGGGUGACGGUACCUCCAGAAUGAAGCCCCGGCUAACUACGUGCCAGCAGCCGCGG
RNAcentral lists this ribosomal RNA (437 nucleotides) under uncultured bacterium. RNAcentral describes it as "bacterial SSU rRNA". It matches the Rfam family "Bacterial small subunit ribosomal RNA", at positions 97 to 520 of the family's 1533-position model. The record is from RNAcentral.